AGAAACUUUCCUGCGCUUCUCCUCCUGUUCUAUUCCCUUCCUCCGUCUUUAGCUCUUACUUCUCUUGGUCUACACUGCUCUGAAAGUAGUCUUUUUUUUUUUCCUUCAAGUUUUCUAGGCCAAUGAUUCCAGUGGGCAGAGAAAGAGGAGGCUUCAUAGGAACCAGAGCAGCUGUUUCUACUCUCUGUCUCUCUCUUCAGGCCUCAACCCAGAGCCAAGCUCCUCCAGGAAGCCUGAGUCAUCCUGAGUUCCUUGAAUCUCAGAAACAGGGGCUGACCAUGGUGGGGCUGUGUGUUUCUCAAGCAGUGCCCAGAUGUGUAGUUUCCAAAACAGUUUACCUCUCAUGGAACAAGGAAAUAAACAAAGAAAAAGAAAGAUAUGAAAUCCAGGAAGCAGAAGACGCAACAUAGGACAGAGAUGAAGGGAUGGUGAAAAGGAAUUCCAGAGCCACAUCUGUACAGCAGGCAUGGAGAACCACCAGUUCAGAACUGGAGGACAGAGAAAUCUGGGAGAGUUGCCCCAGGAGGGCAGACAUGAAGCAAAAACAAUGAUUUCCUCAUACACUUGAUCUUACAAAAAGUUGUGCUAUUGGAAAGAGAAGGGAGAUUUAGCAGUAGAUAGAAGCUGAACAAAUGAAAACAAAAAGACGUAGUUAGGUACAGGAAAAAAUUAAAAAAUGAACACACAAAAGUCGUGAACAUUGUAUGCUCAGGGUUUCUCAGAUAACAGAGUGUAUACAGUAUACAAAGUAAUAAUGUAAAUGUAAUUUAAAAAGUGAAUUUAAUCCAAAGUUAGUGAUUUUGGUGGCAAUGCAAGGAGAUUUCCGAGGGAAAUAAUCAGGUGUCAUAAUAGAAAAUUAAUCAUUAGAUGUGAGUAUGUGGUUUUUGGUGGUAGAGCACUUGACUGACAUCAUCAAGGCCUGGGUUUGAGCCCCGGUAUCACGAAAAGAAAAACUUCACUCAUUUACUGUUUCAAGAGAGAAGACUAUAAACAUGAAAAUAUAUUCUAUUCCAAAACAAACAAAUAAGAACUGUAUUUUAAGAACUGCGUUGGAGUUAAGACCAGUGCAAGAUACCAGUUGUGAGCUUUUGAUUGCUAUUUGACUUGUGACAUUCUGUGCUUAUUUCAAUUGAUCAAAAAUUGAAAGAACUAGAGAUGUAGUUUAAUGGUACAGUGCUUGACUAGGAUGUGCAAGGCCC
RNAcentral lists this long non-coding RNA (1199 nucleotides) under Meriones unguiculatus (Mongolian gerbil). RNAcentral describes it as "lncRNA (ENSMUGG00000016651.1)". Lineage: Eukaryota; Metazoa; Chordata; Mammalia; Rodentia; Muridae. The record is from RNAcentral.